CUUAAAUAAUUAACAAGAAGAGGUUUGUCCUUUUAAAGGUCCCUGUCACUGAUACUUGCCUAUAAGAAGGUCUUAGAAAUGGACCUUUCUUAAAACACACUGUUACCACUUGGAUUCAUCACAUUUUUGGGGCAGUUUUAACAUGGCAACUGCAGAAGUCACAGACACUUGAGUAAAUGGUAUUCCUCACAGGCACAGGCUCAGAAGUCUCCACUCCUGGGAAAAGACAAGGCUACCAGAGAGGCAAAAGAAAGCAACAAGUUAUUCCAGACGAGCAGCCUGUGCAACCCUUUGGCCAAUGUUUGACGCAUCAAAGAUCUGUCGUGGUUCAACCUUUUCAUACGCCCUUGGUCAGAACAGAGGAAAGUCAGUUUAAAAAAGAGCCAGCCAUAUUGGAAGAGGGUGCAGGAACCAUUCAGAGCUAGAAAGGUUGAAUUGCAGUGGGGAUGAGGGAGGACAACUCAAAGUUUUCUAAAUAAGGAGAUUAAGAGAUGCCUCAGUUACUGACUACUAGAACCAGCAUGGAAAAAUAAUUUGGAAUAAUAUUGUUGAGUCCACUAGAUAAAAAUAUGGAUGGAUGUUCAUCUCAAGCUGAACAAAUCCAACCUAAAAAGAGAGCACAUUUUUUUAACCACAAGUAUGAAGUUAAACUUCAAAAGACAUUUACAAGAGAAGCAAUAAGUCACAUACUCUGGAUGUCUUUCUGGGAGAUCAAGUUUUAAUCAAGCCCAAAUUAUUGGCCUAGGUACAGGUAAAAUAUAAUGGACUGCGGUAUUUGACCCUGCAGGUCUGCCUAACACCUGAUGCAUGAAUAAAGGCAUUUUAUAAGUCCGCGAUUAUGUGAUG
This 846-nucleotide long non-coding RNA is filed under the name Parus major (Great Tit). Its description in RNAcentral is "lncRNA (ENSPMJG00000012837.1)". The record is from RNAcentral. Lineage: Eukaryota; Metazoa; Chordata; Aves; Passeriformes; Paridae.